GAUGAAGAACGCAGCGAAAUGCGAUAAGUAGUGUGAAUUGCAGAAUUCAGUGAAUCAUCGAAUCUUUGAACGCACAUUGCGCCCCUUGGUAUUCCAUGGAGCAUGCCUGUUCGAGCGUCAUUUGUACCUUCAAGCUUUGCUUGGUGUUGGGUGUUUGUCUCGCCUUUGCGUGUAGACUCGCCUUAAAAUAAUUGGCAGCCGGCGUAUUGAUUUCGGAGCGCAGUACAUCUCGCGCUUUGCACUCAUAACGACAGCGUCCAAAAGUACAUUUUACACUCUUGACCUCGGAUCAGGUAGGGAUACCCGCUGAACUUAAGCAUAUCAAUAAGCGGAGGA
RNAcentral lists this unclassified non-coding RNA (336 nucleotides) under soil metagenome. RNAcentral describes it as "partial contains 5.8S ribosomal RNA, internal transcribed spacer 2, and large subunit ribosomal RNA". The stretch from base 1 to 120 matches the Rfam family "5.8S ribosomal RNA", at positions 35 to 154 of the family's 154-position model. The record is from RNAcentral.